UUAUACAGAGAGUUAAGAGAUAGUGAAGUUAAUUAUACUAAACGAUUUACAUAUGUAACAUCUUUAUAUAAUCAGUUUUUUAGUUAUAGUUAUAAUUUAUAUGAUUUAUUAAAAUUAUUAGAAAUAUAUCAAAAAACAAAACAUAGUAAAUAUGCAGAUAUGUUUAAAAAAAUACUUGUUAAUAUAAAUGAUUUAGCAUAUUUACUAUUUACUUAUAAAAAACCAUUAAUCUGUUAUUGUAAUGGUGAAAUAAAAGGUUCAGCUGGUUUUUUAACAUUUUUAGCAAAUAAUAGUGCUGCUUUUUUACACUCUUGUUACUCAUAUAAUAAUCUAGAAUAUUCUUUUUUACCAUAUGGUGGUAUCUCUUAUAUACUAGCAAAUUUAAGAGGGUCUUUAGGAUUCUAUUUAGCUUUAACAGGUCAUAAAAUGAAAUCUUCUGAUUUAAUUUGGUGUGGUUUAAGUAAAAGAUGGCUAUCAGAAGAUAGCUUAGAACUCAUGGAAAUAACAUCCGAAAGUCAAUUAGAAGUUUCUGAACAAGAUGCUGCUAUACUAUUACUAGAACACUUUUUAAACGUUCCUCAAAUAUAUACACUAAAAGAAUAUGAAGAAAUUAUUCAUGAUCAUUUUAAACAUAAUAAUUUGUUAUACAUAUUAAAAAAGUUACAAAGUUCUAGUAAAAGUGAAAAUGAAAAAAUACAAAAAUGGGCUGAAGAUACUUACAAUAAAAUAUGCUCUUUACCCCCAUUAGCUACUCAUAUCACAUUUGAAAUAUUAAAUAUAUUAAGAAAUUAUAAAUUGGAACUAUUAAAAAAAGCACAAAUUUCAAAACAUUUAUGGAAAGAACUUAUAAAAAAUAGUUAUAAACUUGUAUCAACAACAAAAGAAGAAAUUAGUAUGACUGAACUAAAAAAUACCAUCGAUCAAGAACUUUUUAUUAAAGCAUUAAAUAUUGAAACUAAUGCUCUUUUAAAUUUUAUCUCAUGUCCAGAUAUCUUAAAUGGUAUUACUUCAUACUUAGUAAAAGAUACUGAACAUGCUUUUAGUUGUAGUUAUAUAAAUAACAACAUUUUUGACAUAAAAAAAGACAUCAUACAUUAUUUUCUUUUUUACAAAAAUAAUUAUGAGUAUACCAUUUAUGAUAGACCUGAUAUUAGUUUUUCAAGCUUAAGUGUUCUCGAAAAAUAUAAUCAACACUACAACACUGAACACAAAACGUCAUAUGACAGAGUUUUUUUUUCAAA
RNAcentral lists this long non-coding RNA (1241 nucleotides) under Piliocolobus tephrosceles (Ugandan red Colobus). Its description in RNAcentral is "lncRNA (ENSPTEG00000014347.1)". The record is from RNAcentral. Lineage: Eukaryota; Metazoa; Chordata; Mammalia; Primates; Cercopithecidae.